RNAcentral lists this long non-coding RNA (2271 nucleotides) under Oryza brachyantha (malo sina). RNAcentral describes it as "long non-coding RNA (OBRA_LNC003077)". Lineage: Eukaryota; Viridiplantae; Streptophyta; Magnoliopsida; Poales; Poaceae. The record is from RNAcentral.
UAAACCGCAUUAUGUCAUGUCACGCCCAGAAAUUUACACCAAAUUUCUGAACAAUAGCAUGUAUUAAAUCUCAGUCCAGGAAUCAGCCCGAGUACAAACUAUGACAAAUUAAUACACAGUUCUACGACUUAAAAACAAAUAAAAACAAUUAUCUAUCAAAAUACAGCGGAAAAGGAAAACAAAAUAAAACUCAACUAAUCUUCAACUUCAGCUGGCGAUGACGGCUCCACACCACAGGCAUUCUCGACGGCGGACUGAACCUCACUUCGACCUUGGGAACAACCUUCUGACUGAAACUAGCACUUGCUCUGGUGGAGAAAAAUUAAGCAAGGCUGAGUACAAACCACCGUACUUAACAAGUAACACCCAAGAGAGGGAGAAUAAUGAAUGCAGUAGGGUACAAGAAUAGGUUAAGGUUAACUUGCAUAAAAGCGACAGUAAUUUAGCAAAACAGUAGAUAAAAUAGACUGAAACAAAAGUAAAGUACUUGAAAAUAACCACUCACUGUUCAACGUUACACCACGUUGCAACAGGCCCAAACCACUGUCCAGCGUUACACCACACCGCAACAGGGUCAACCCUCUGCCCAACGUUGAACCACGUUGCGACAGACCCAAACCACUGCCAACGUUACACCACGUUGAGUAGGGUCAAACCAGUUCCAAAUUAAUCAAGUUAUUAAAGGUUCAACUAUUCCCAGUGAAUUUGUCAGUUUGCCCAAUAACCGCGGGCACAGCUAUUCGAAUAGUUUUACUCUGCAGAGGUGUACAACUUUAACCACAAGACAUGGCUCCCAAGCAUGUUACCAUGCCCCAACGUAUCACUACGAUACCUCAGUACGGAAACCAUGAUAAGAUCUUUCACCUAACCCUCCCUAGACAAUUGCACCAUACUUCAGGUUUUGCCCCCUCCUUUACACCAAGUCGGGCAGCCCCCUCUUGUGCCUAAGUGAAUCCGAAAGCAGCAGAGACCAACUUUACACCAUGAUCUCCCGUCCAUACUCCAUCACGCCCACCCUUCCCUCGGUACGUCGAAUAGGGACAAGCUAGACUACAAGUCUCACCGUUGCCCAUUCUGACUUGUGGUUAGUACGUGUAAGACUUCCAGGGUUUCCCGAGAACCAUCCCUAAUUGCCAUGGGCACGACUCUCAGAACCACGCACCCACAGCCCACCAUAAGCAAUAUUUUAGUUGUAUUUAAUCCACAUCAAGAAAUGAAUAAUGAUCACAACCAUUAAAGGUCUAUCAAAGUCUAAUCAAUAAUUAAAUAAUAAUUGGUGAGCUAGUUGAACUAAGCAGGGCUAAGCAUUGCCUAAGCCUAUUUCUAGUCAAAUUAACCCUGGGAUAACAAUGAUAAUAGGUGGGUAUGAACGGGUAUAAAGGUAAUUGCCCAAUAGAUAAAUAAAGUAAAGACAUUUAAAACCAGUGCAUAUUUGAAUGUAAAAAGGGGAAUUUAUAAUGAUGGAAUCAAUAUGUUCAAAGGAGGGUGCCACUUGCCUUGCUCUGACCCACGAGGAACUUCGGCGACAACUUCGCGAACGAACAGCGCUUCGGCAAGCGAAAAACCUACGACAAACAGAGCAAAACUGGCUAUAAAAAUACUGAAACAGAGAAAGAAACUAUUUUUAAUUUAUUCUUAGCGUAUUUCUAGAUUUAAUGAAACUUGAAUGGACCUGAACGGAGACUAGAUGAAUUAGUUAUGAGUUUUAGAAGAUUAACUGUGUUUUUAAACUAAACAGAAAACUUUAACUGAUUUAUUGCGCAAUUAAUUGGAGGGAUGAUGUCAGCACAGGAGAGAGGGAGAGUGCUGUCUAGAUGGACCCACCUAGCAGUGGCACAACUGAGGUGAAGGGAGUAUGACCAGUGGGGCCGACGGGUCAUAGGCUCAGAGAGAAGGCUGACGAACGGGGCCCACGAAGGGAGAGAGAGAUGACUGACGGAGUGGGACCUGCGGGGAGGGAGAGGGAUAAAGCCAGCAUGUGGGGACCACAUGUCGGUGAAAGGUGGAGACUGACAAGCGGGUCCACAAGGAGAGAGAAAGGGGUAGCUGUCGGGCGGGGCCCACAGCUCGGGUGAGAGAGGUAGAGAGUGACGGGCGGGGUCCACCCGUCAGAGGAGAGAGAGGGCUGAUGGGCGGGGCCCAUUAGUCAGAGAGAGAACAGAGAGGGAGAGGGAUGGGAUGCAGCGUUCGGCCGGGUGGCGGCGACGGGCGGUGGAGACGACCGGCAACCGGUAGCGGCGAAGGGGAGUGGCGCACGGCGAAGGCCGGCGG